AUUGAACGCUGGCGGCAUGCCUUACACAUGCAAGUCGAACGGCAGCACGGGAGCAAUCCUGGUGGCGAGUGGCGAACGGGUGAGUAAUAUAUCGGAACGUGCCCAGUCGUGGGGAUAACGUAGCGAAAGCUACGCUAAUACCGCAUACGAUCUAUGGAUGAAAGCGGGGGAUCGCAAGACCUCGCGCGAUUGGAGCGGCCGAUAUCAGAUAGGUAGUUGGUGAGGUAAAGGCUCACCAAGCCGACGAUCUGUAGCUGGUCUGAGAGGACGACCAGCCACACUGGGACUGAGACACGGCCCAGACUCCUACGGGAGGCAGCAGUGGGGAAUUUU
RNAcentral lists this ribosomal RNA (333 nucleotides) under uncultured bacterium. RNAcentral's name for it is "bacterial SSU rRNA". It matches the Rfam family "Bacterial small subunit ribosomal RNA", at positions 30 to 365 of the family's 1533-position model. The record is from RNAcentral.